GAAGAGAUCCUGACUCACCCUUCAUCUUCGUUUGCUAUUUAAAUGUGUUUAUGUAACAAAACUUAUAUGGAUGAAAGAUUGAUGUAACAAUAGGUAUGUGACAUGUAAAGAACUAAAGCAAGCAUAAUUUGGUCAACGAGGUUGUCAUAUAUGAAGUCUUACUUCUAAAUCAAAGAAUAACAAAUGGCUUCGAAACCUAAAAAAUCAAUGAUUGAGAAAAAUGGAUCUCGUUUGAAUAAACUCAUAAUCAAUAAAGGAACCCAAGCCUUGAAAACAACAUUGCUAAGGAAUCUAAACCUUCAAUCAACAAACUUGAAAGAUAAACUUAAUGAUCCUUCUACAAAGAGUAAAUUGACACCACUAAAAUUCAAAGUCAUCAGCAAGGAGCAAUGGAACCUUCUUUACCCAUCAACUGGCUCACCUGACAUUGAAAAGUUUGAUAUUUCAUUAUUGUAUGUCUUAUUGCGUAACAUUUGUGGUCUAAAAGCGCCACAUAGUGGAUGGGAUUAUCUUCCUUACUCUUCAGAUACUUCAAUCUCAGCAAACAUUGCAAGAAUAAAGUUUUAUCGAAACCAAGUGUACGGUCACAUAACUACAACUAGUGUAGGUGACAGUGAGUUUGAGCAUUCGUGGCAAGAAAUUUCAAAAGCAUUGGUUUGUCUGGGUAUUCGACAAACUGAAAUAGAUGAAUUAAAAGGUAGAGUUUGCGUCUGCUGAAAUAAAGAUAACUAGGGUCAGUUUCCCAAGGUAAAUAAGAGAAACAGUACGUGUCAGAUAAUUUAGAGUUAAAGCACAAAAAGCCUGAAACGAAAAUUUACCAACUGGGUUAUACUUUUA
Molecule: long non-coding RNA, 837 nt
Organism: Xenia sp. Carnegie-2017
Lineage: Eukaryota; Metazoa; Cnidaria; Anthozoa; Malacalcyonacea; Xeniidae
Exons: 3
Source: RefSeq, a predicted model, not a curated record